CGCCGCUUCCACCAAAAUUCAAAUCUCUCUUUCCUCACCCAAAACAGAAAGAAAGAGAAAUUUCAACCCUCCGCUUUUUCUCCACUCAGUCCCCCCUCCGAUCCUUCAAUUUCGAAUCAAGCUCGCAUCUCACCGGCACUUUUUUCCCGAUCCGCAUUAGCAGCAGCAGCAGCCCCUGUGCGCGUCAACGAUGAGCGAGUCCGGUGAGAGUUUCGCCCUCCAAGAGAAUAGGCUCGGCCUCAUCGACGUCUCCUUUGAGGAUGAUUGUCUAUAUGCUACUUCCUCUCCUCCUCGUGACUUCCAGUUCUCAGGUCACUUCUCAG
Molecule: long non-coding RNA, 323 nt
Filed under: Linum usitatissimum (flax)
Lineage: Eukaryota; Viridiplantae; Streptophyta; Magnoliopsida; Malpighiales; Linaceae
Description: long non-coding RNA (LUSI_LNC001875)
Source: RNAcentral